GGACCCGCACAAGCGGUGGAGCAUGUGGUUUAAUUCGAUGCAACGCGAAGAACCUUACCUGGUCUUGACAUCCUGCGAACUUUCUAGAAAUAGAUUGGUGCCUUCGGGAACGCAGUGACAGGUGCUGCAUGGCUGUCGUCAGCUCGUGUCGUGAGAUGUUGGGUUAAGUCCCGUAACGAGCGCAACCCCUAUCCUUAUUUGCCAGCACAUUAUGGUGGGAACUAUAAGGAGACUGCCGGUGACAAACCGGAGGAAGUGGGGACGACGUCAAGUCAUCAUGGCCCUUACGGCCUGGGCUACACACGUGCUACAAUGGCUAGGACAGACGGCCGCAAACCCCGCGAGGGGGAGCCC
Molecule: ribosomal RNA, 354 nt
Filed under: uncultured bacterium
Lineage: Bacteria
Description: bacterial SSU rRNA
Rfam family: Bacterial small subunit ribosomal RNA
Source: RNAcentral